This 264-nucleotide long non-coding RNA is filed under the name Hordeum vulgare. RNAcentral describes it as "long non-coding RNA (HVUL_LNC004927)". The record is from RNAcentral. Lineage: Eukaryota; Viridiplantae; Streptophyta; Magnoliopsida; Poales; Poaceae.
AGUCGCUAAUCAUCAUGAUUCAGGUCCAAGAGCCGCCAACCUUCAAGAAGACUGUGUGUUGAUGUUGAAUGCGAUUUACACGCUGACAGAGCAAUUAUACACAUGCAGUGUCUUGACAGUUAAAGCUGUGAUGGGUGCCAAAGAACCUAUCACUUCCAUCAAGAAGGUGCUUGGCUGCUUAUCCACACUUCCCCCUCAGAUUAGUGAGUUAACUCGGUCAGCCGCCCGGAGAGGUAUUCUGACUGCCCUGAGUCGCUGUUUGGC